GGCUUGGUGGCGUAAUGGUAACGCUCUCCGUGGUGAUAUAUAGUAUUUGUAUAUUGGUUGAUGGAAAGUCCGGAGUUCGAUUCUUCGUCAAGCCA
Mycena latifolia is the source of this 95-nucleotide non-coding RNA. Lineage: Eukaryota; Fungi; Basidiomycota; Agaricomycetes; Agaricales; Mycenaceae. The record is from the annotation of a GenBank genome assembly.